AUAUUCCCUGUCUAUAGUCGCAUUUUUUUUCUCUCAAUUGAUGCUUAAAAUUAUUUUGCAAGUUGGAAAAAAAUGCAGUUUUAAUUUCAUUUGCACCAAAUUUAAUAGAUUAAUUAGGAGAGAAUAGAUCUCUUUAAAAUUGAGUCUUCCUCUCCAACUGCAAGGAGACUUGUCUAGAAAAAAAAGUUGUUUCGGCCAAUGCCCAAGAAGUGACUGACUGCCUGUGUUCUCUUCUAGGAUUUUUAUGGUUUGAGGUUUCACGUGUUAAUGCAAGAGUGGAAGGGAGUGUGGAUAAGAUACUAUGGAUAUAAAGUGAUAAUGCAAAAUGAACUGAUUAAUAGAUGGACACAAGAAUGAAUGAUUUGAUGGAUAUGGGCCUAAAAGAAUAUAUAGUUUUAACUGAGGUGUUACCAGCUUAAGAAGUGAGAUAUUUUAGAUGCUUCACUACCUGACAUUUCCAUAUCAAUCCAAAUUCUUAUACUUGUUUAUCAUUUCUGUGGACUUCAUUCUUCAACAGUGCUGCAUGUUUCAUAAGCAAGGACCAAAGAGACUUUGACCACAGGUGGUGAACAAGUAUACAAGAGGAUCAUAGAUACCUUCCUGCAGUGGUUCCAUCCACAGCAUCGCCAAAUUGAUGUUGUUAUUUCCCUCUUUUUGAAGCUCAUUGCAUCAUUGUAUCUCAAAGGGCACAAGUUAUAAAUAUAGAUAUAGAUAUAAAUGUAAAUAUAUAGAUAUAAAUAUAAAUAUAUAAAUAUAAAUAUAAACAUAAAUCUCUUCAGGAAUAGAAGUGGUCUGCUUUUUGGCAAGUAAUGGCCAAGAAUGUUAAGUACUUCUUUGUUCUCUGACUAUAUCUUGAGCUUUUCUCUAUUGUUAUUUACUUCAUUGAUUUUUUUUCUCUAUGUUUUACUUUACAAGUGGGAAUGAGAUUUGCAUGUGGUAAAUAUAAUUAAUGCAACCCCAUGGACACCUUGGUCAUACCAUAGAUUAUAACCAGGCUAUCUCACAAGCUGAGUACCUCCCAUGUGCCAGUUUGGAUACCAUUUGUAAAAUGUGUUGUUCGUCAUUUGAAUCAUGAGCCCUCAGUUGUUAGAGUGGUUGGUCCAAAACAGUAGCCUCUUAAAACAUUUGUGUUACAUGCAAAUAGAUAUUCUGUAGUUUUAGUUUUUAUUCAACCUAGUAGAUCUCACUCUAGAACACGAUCAGAGCCUGACCAUAGUUGACCUCUUCCUUAGUACCCAAAUUUAAGACUUGGAUGCUGUCACAACUCUGGUAGUUUAAGGUAGAACCAGACUCUUUAACUGACAUUUUUAGCCUUGGCAAUGCCAUCCUGUAGAACACAUGGUUCUAUGAUUUUAUUGGUAUCACUAGAAUUUUGAAAUUGGGAGUAAAGAAUUCAAGGCAACCAAGAUAUUUCACUUUUAUUCACAUUAUCCUGACUUUUAUUUGUUUUCUGUUUAAUCUAAAUAGGCUUAAUACAGAUGGCUGUGUUUAUUGGAAGUUUUAAUUGACUACUUCUAAAACAUAAACUGUAUUAUAAUCAGGGAACUGCUAUCUGCAUUGCCCAACUUGUCUUAGUAGACAGGUUUGACACAUAGCACACUGAAAUAGGGCCAAUAAUAGGAUUAUUAAACAGUUUAAAGCAAAAUUUGGUCAUUCAUUCUUCAUCUUUCAUUCCUACUUCCUAGGUGUAACAAGCAUUAAUCAGUUAUGCUACAGUUAAUAUUUCUAAGCUCAUACAGUUUAUGCGCAAUUUAUUUUACAAAUAAGACAUUAUGGUUUUUGCAGCUAUAUUUUUUAUUAAAUAUACUGUGGAUGUAUUUCUAACCCAAUAAAUGUAGUUUCUCUACA
Molecule: long non-coding RNA, 1848 nt
Organism: Felis catus (domestic cat)
Lineage: Eukaryota; Metazoa; Chordata; Mammalia; Carnivora; Felidae
Exons: 6
Source: RefSeq, a predicted model, not a curated record